Molecule: ribosomal RNA, 735 nt
Filed under: Alnicola badia
Lineage: Eukaryota; Fungi; Basidiomycota; Agaricomycetes; Agaricales; Hymenogastraceae
Description: eukaryotic LSU rRNA
Rfam family: 5.8S ribosomal RNA (bases 220-373)
Source: RNAcentral
UGUUGCUGGCUCUCGGGGGCAUGUGCACACCCACCAUCCUCAUCUCUCCACCUGUGCACCUCUUGUAGACCUGGAUUGACUUUCCGAGGCAACUCGGUCGGGAAGAUUGCUGCGCUCUGUGAGCCAGCUUUCUUUGCAUGUCCAGGCCUAUGUUUUUCAUAUACCCCUAUAGAAUGUAACAGAAUGUAUCAUUGGGCCUUGUGCCUAUAAACCUUAUACAACUUUCAGCAACGGAUCUCUUGGCUCUCGCAUCGAUGAAGAACGCAGCGAAAUGCGAUAAGUAAUGUGAAUUGCAGAAUUCAGUGAAUCAUCGAAUCUUUGAACGCACCUUGCGCUCCUUGGUAUUCCGAGGAGCAUGCCUGUUUGAGUGUCAUUAAAUUCUCAACCUUAUUAACUUUUGUUGAUAAUGGAUUGGAUUGUGGGGGUUUCUUUUGCUGGCUUCUUCACAGAGAUCAGCUCCCCUUAAAUGCAUUAGCUGGUGCCCCGCGUGGACCAUCUAUUGGUGUGAUAAUUAUCUACGCCGUGGAUGUCUGCAAUCAUAUGGGUUUCGCACUGCUUCUAACCGUCUGUUCAUUCGGACAAUACAUGACAAUUUGACCUCAAAUCAGGUAGGACUACCCGCUGAACUUAAGCAUAUCAAUAAGCGGAGGAAAAGAAACUAACAAGGAUUCCCCUAGUAACUGCGAGUGAAGCGGGAAAAGCUCAAAUUUAAAAUCUGGCGGUCUCCGGCCGUCC